This is a long non-coding RNA of Vombatus ursinus (common wombat), 265 nucleotides long. RefSeq lists it as uncharacterized. The record is from RefSeq and is a predicted model, not a curated record. Lineage: Eukaryota; Metazoa; Chordata; Mammalia; Diprotodontia; Vombatidae. The transcript has 3 exons.
GUAUCUUUCCCAGAUACCCCAAAUGGGGUCAUGAAGAUUUGGACACGACUGAACAAUAACAACAAAGAACGACCUGCCAAUUGAAGGUAACCUGGACUCAACCUCUGCACUCCUCAGCUCUGAUUGAUAAACAGAGUGGACACAGAAAACUGAACCCAGCUGAAUGGAACUGAACAAGAAUGCAUAAAAUGCACAUAGGCACACACCUGAAAUAUCUAACAGUUGCCUCAGUUCAACAUAUGUGUGAUCCCAGAGAAUUUUUCAU